UCUCUCUCUCUCUCUCUCUCAUGUCAUUCUUUUGCUUCAGCCUCCUUCAACACCUCUUCUUCGGGUUCAAUUUCAUCUUCUCUCUCAUUGCACUGAUUAUCUUUCACUCUCCCCUUCAAUCCUCUACCUUCUUCUUUCUCUAUCUCCUUUAUUAUAGAUGAUUUGUUUAUGGGUUGAUAUUAUUUUAAGGAUUUGGUGUCUGGGUAGCUUGAUCUGCUGAGAAUUUUGAUCAAUUUUGUGUCUGGGUAGCUUGACCAGUUGGAGCACCAAACAUGGAUCAGGACUGUUAUAGAAAUAAGCCAAGUUAUAAGAGUCCAGGACUCUUGUAGAAAUUAAGGUGAAGGGUGAUAGUCCGGUGAAACAAACACCCCCUUAAACCUUUAAACCGAUUUCUUUUUCCCCCUCAAGUAGGAACUGACUAUUCCAUUGCAGAGUGCAAGGAUUUUAUGUGAACUAUUAAGAGAAUAAAAGUUUUGGGGAUACAAAAUGGGGGAGGGAGGGUUUAAGCUACAUGGACAAAAAAUGCAAUAUAGGCCUAACAUGAUCAAAAACUAGAACAGUCCCAAUCUGUGACUCAGAAAAAAUUGACUUCCUCGCAAACUGGAACCUUUGCUCCUCUCGACAUAUACUCUCAUUUGAACUUUAAUGCCUAAAUGCAGUGGUGCAGAUUUAAGGCUCGCAAUUGUUCCACAAGGUAGCCUCUUGCCAUUCUUUCUGAUUCCCAGAUGUCAGUGAAGCCCCCCGGGUGUAUAAAAACAAACUGCUCAAAUAUGGUUCUGCCUCUUUCA
This is a long non-coding RNA of Rosa rugosa (rugosa rose), 788 nucleotides long. RefSeq lists it as uncharacterized. The record is from RefSeq and is a predicted model, not a curated record. NCBI's taxonomy places the organism in Eukaryota, Viridiplantae, Streptophyta, Magnoliopsida, Rosales, Rosaceae. The transcript has 2 exons.